This 1519-nucleotide long non-coding RNA is filed under the name Homo sapiens (human). RNAcentral's name for it is "non-protein coding lnc-ARMC10-2:1". Lineage: Eukaryota; Metazoa; Chordata; Mammalia; Primates; Hominidae. The record is from RNAcentral.
GAGGAGGCAGCAGAGAGGUCACAGAGCACAGCAGGCGGGAGAAAACCGCCUCCCGCGAGGUCCAACAGAAACCACGGAGCUCCGGACACUCGGGAUCCCGGGCCGCGGGCGCGCGGCCAGAGCGGCGGGGUGCGAGCGCGGGGGUGCGGACUCACCUCGCGCUUGGGGUGGCCGGGAGCGCGCGCCGCCUCAGUUCCGCGGCUUCCGGCCACAGAGUCCCCGCGCAAAGCGCCGCCGCGUAGCGGGAGGGGCGACCGCGGCAGGCGCUCGGGUUCUUCCUAACCCGAGCCCGCCGCGCUGGCUCCGCCGAGGACGCCAGCAGCUGCAGGCAGCGCUUCAGCUCUCGCCGCCUCGCCAUCGUUGGGGCGAGUCGUCGCCGGGUCACUCCCUUAUUAUGACCUUCGAAUCUGACAGCAGGGCCAGCGGUGGCCUCCUUCAGGCUGCCUCUCCAGCCCUUACCAAGAUGGCCGCCCCUGUGGGCCGGGGCGCCGAAGCCAUCUUGGUAAAGGAAGCGCCUGGGAGCACGCGGCCUGCCCCGGCCCGCCUCGCGACUCAAACACUCUGCAGGGACCCUCCUAAGAUCAAAUUGGUUCCCCCCGCUGUCCUAAGCCAGAGGCUUACUUUCAGAUCGCAUGAACGCAUUCCUGGACACCAGCCACAGUUGCUAAAACUAAAUGGGAUCCUGCAGACCCAUUGACGGACUGUCAUAGCCAACUCAAUCACAGUCGAGAAGCAUUUGAAUACUUACAGCCUAUGGCGCUAGGAUCCUGGUAGCGAAGAAACUAAACUCUAAUUUGAAAUGUUGUACAGUACGUAUUGAAUAUUAAUGGGAGCACGGCAUUGUUCACUGUGUGAUCGUUUACUUUUAAAAUGAUGUCACAGCCCCCUGGUACACACGGUUCUCAUCUAAAUUUGCAUCUUUUUUAACGCUAGGAUAACUAUGAAAGAGCAUACGAUUGUGAUUCUGAGUUUCUUACUGGAUUUGCUUUUUAAACUGCAGAAUGAAAUUAGUUGUUUCAAGAAGUAAAGUACAGGCAUGUCGAAGUAAAAUUCAACAAUGGGUUGUUGGGCAAAAAGAUUAUAAAAGUCCUGGGGUGUGCCAGGGUCAAAAAAAAAAAAAAAAGCUUGUCCCUGGGGUUAUCUUGGCAAAAAAGAAACCACCACCACAGGUUCUAAAUGCAGAUAAGACUGGCAGAAAAAUGCAGACCAAACUAUUCUGCAUUUUGAAAGUGAAUGUGCCUGUGUGACAUUGGAGGAAUGUAAAGAACUGUAUGUCAAGUGUGGACUUUAUCUCCUCAGGCUAGCUUAGAGUGGCUGCUGAACUUAAGGGUGAUUAAGAGCUGCUUGCACCUGGGUGGAGCUGAAACUGCAUAAGGUGAAUAAUACCUUUGUGCAACAGAAGAAAAAAAAAAAAGUAACAGCAUACAUACAAACCCAAAGGGUAAGUUGAAGUUACUACUCAAAAGUUCUUCAUAGUGUUCUUGACUAAGCAACGGAGAAGUAAUCCCGGCACUUUGGG